GGAAGGUGUAUUUAGACAGAGAGGGAGGUGUAUUUAGACAGAGAGGGAGGUGUAUUCAGACAGAGAGGGAGGUGUAUUCAGACAGAGAGGGAGGUGUAUUUCUAUGUGUCAUCUAGGUGGCAUUCCCAAGUCUGUGUCUAAAAUGUCAACUCAGUUUCCUUGUGGAAUGUUUGUUUACAGCCCACAUGUAAAUCGAGGGUUGGGAGUUACCACAAACUAAAGGCUUUCCAUGUAACACCUCCCACAUUCUGUAAACAAACAAACGGAGAGCUCGAGAGAGAGGAGCCGGAAGCAGGGAAUUCCAGUAC
Oncorhynchus tshawytscha (Chinook salmon) is the source of this 308-nucleotide long non-coding RNA. The record is from Ensembl. NCBI's taxonomy places the organism in Eukaryota, Metazoa, Chordata, Actinopteri, Salmoniformes, Salmonidae.